GUAAUUGAGAAGUGUGAAUUCCUUUGGUCCACCUUUGAGUGUGGUGUUAUCCUCAAUUAGUGUUAUGUGUCUUGGUAUUUGAUACACACCUUCGUGCUAUUCAUUAGUGUAGGUGUAUGUCUCAUUAUCUAUCCUUUUCAUUUAUGCACUUUUCGCUUCUUUUGUGUUGAAUCCGUAUGUUCUUCUACUUCAUCUCCUUUCUUGUAGUUGCUGAU
RNAcentral lists this long non-coding RNA (215 nucleotides) under Capsicum annuum. RNAcentral's name for it is "long non-coding RNA (CANN_LNC020481)". The record is from RNAcentral. Lineage: Eukaryota; Viridiplantae; Streptophyta; Magnoliopsida; Solanales; Solanaceae.